UGUUGCUUGCACGAGGUGAUGGAUGCUUGU
RNAcentral lists this non-coding RNA (30 nucleotides) under Homo sapiens (human). Lineage: Eukaryota; Metazoa; Chordata; Mammalia; Primates; Hominidae. The record is from RNAcentral.